This 251-nucleotide ribosomal RNA is filed under the name uncultured prokaryote. RNAcentral's name for it is "partial 16S rRNA". It matches the Rfam family "Bacterial small subunit ribosomal RNA", at positions 525 to 775 of the family's 1533-position model. The record is from RNAcentral.
ACGGAGGGUGCAAGCGUUAAUCGGAAUUACUGGGCGUAAAGCGCGCGCAGGCGGUUUGGUAAGUCAGAUGUGAAAUCCCAGGGCUCAACCUGGGCACUGCAUUUGAUACUGCCGAGCUUGAGUUUGGGAGAGGGUGGUGGAAUUCCAGGUGUAGGAGUGAAAUCCGUAGAGAUCUGGAGGAACACCGGUGGCGAAGGCGGCCCCCUGGACCAAGACUGACGCUCAGGUGCGAAAGCGUGGGGAGCAAACAG